CAAAAUGCCCCCCAAAUCCCCCAAAUGCCCACCAGGAACAUGGUGAGGGUGCUGCCCAUCAUGACCCCAAAAGAUGACCCCAAAAGGCCCCAAAAUACCCCAAAAUGCCCCCAAAAUACCCCAAAAAUGCCCACCAGGAACAUGGUGAGGGUCCCACCCAAUGUAACCCCAAAAGAUGACCCCAAAAGGCCCCGAAAUGCCCUCAAAAUGCCCCCCAAAUCCCCCAAAUGCCCACCAGGAACAUGGUGAGGGUGCGCCCCAUGACGGCCCCAUAGAGCUGCAUGGCGUCCCCCCCCGACACGGCGAAGAAGUCGCAGAGGAAAAGGAAUUCCCUGCAGCUGUUGUCCACCAGCGCGUAGUGCUGGCUGCGGAACAGCGCCUCGAACGGGUACUGGGGGUCAGAGGUCAAAGGUCAGCCCGGGGCCACAAGGUCAGGGGGUCAGGGAUGGGAUUACGGGGUCAGGGGUGGAGUUAUGGGGUGAGAUGUGGGGUUAUGGGCAUCAAAAGAGAGCCUCAAAUGGGUACUGGGGGUCAGAGAUCAAAGGUCAGCCCGGGGUCACAAGGUCAGGGAGGUCAAAUGUGGGGUUACAGAGUCAGGUGUGGGGUUAUGGGGUCAAAUGUGGGCUUGGGUGUGAAGUUAUGGGGUGAGAUGUGGGGUUAUCAGCAUCAAAGUGAGCCUCGAAUGGGUACUGGGGGUCAGAGGUCAAAGGUCAGCCCGGGGUCAUAAGGUCAGGGGGUCACAUGUGGGGUUAUGGGGUCAGGUGUGGGGUUGAUGACAACAGAAGAGAGCCUCGAAUGUGUAAUGAGGGGUCAGAGGUCAAAGGUCAGCCUGGGGAAGUCAAAGGUCAUGAGGACCAGGUGUGGGGUUAUGGGGUGGUGGGGUCGUGAACAGCGCCUCAAAGGGGUUUUGGGGGUCAGAGGUCAAGGUCACGUGUGGGGUCAGAGGUCAAAGGGCCGAAGGGUCAAAUAUGGGGCU
RNAcentral lists this long non-coding RNA (976 nucleotides) under Phasianus colchicus (ring-necked pheasant). RNAcentral's name for it is "lncRNA (ENSPCLG00000018183.1)". Lineage: Eukaryota; Metazoa; Chordata; Aves; Galliformes; Phasianidae. The record is from RNAcentral.